GGCCGAGCAGCGGCGCCUGGCAGAGCAGCUGAGCCCCCCAGACCCGGCGGGCGGAGGCGGGGACGGACGGGCUCACGGGGUGUGGGACCGGGACUCACGUGACCCG
This 106-nucleotide microRNA precursor is filed under the name Sorex araneus (European shrew). Its description in RNAcentral is "miRNA (ENSSARG00000016933.1)". Lineage: Eukaryota; Metazoa; Chordata; Mammalia; Eulipotyphla; Soricidae. The record is from RNAcentral.